GAACGCUCGGUCCGAUCGGGUAGUAGGUAAGCGAUGGGGUGACGCAGGAAGGUAGUCCAGCCCAGGCGAUGGUUGUCCUGGGGUAAGCAUGUAGCCCGUGUUGCAGGCAAAUCCGCAACACUUGUGGGUGAGAUGUGAUGCCGAGCCGAUUGUGGUGAAGUGGAUGAUCCUAUGCUGCCGAGAAAAGCCUCUAGUGAGUGUUGUGGCGGCCCGUACCCUAAACCGACUCAGGUGGUCAGGUAGAGAAUACUAAGGCGAUCGGGUGAACUGUGGUUAAGGAACUCGGCAAAUUGCCCCCGUAACUUCGGGAGAAGGGGGGCCUCUGCUGGUGAACAUCCUUGCGGUGGGAGCUGGUGGGGGCCGCAGUGGCCAGGGGGAAGCGACUGUUUACUAAAAACACAGGUCCGUGCGAAGUCGUAAGACGAUGUAUACGGACUGACGCCUGCCCGGUGCCGGAACGUUAAGGGGACCGCUUAGUUCAGCUUCGGCUGGGCGAAGGUGAGAACUUAAGCGCCGGUAAACGGCGGUGGUAACUAUAACCAUCCUAAGGUAGCGAAAUUCCUUGUCGGGUAAGUUCCGACCUGCACGAAUGGCGUAACGACUUCCCCGCUGUCUCAACCGCAGACCCGGCGAAAUUGCACUACGAGUAAAGAUGCUCGUUACGCGCAGCAGGACGGAAAGACCCCGGGACCUUCACUACAGCUUGACAUUGGCGUUUGGAGCGUCUUGUGUAGGAUAGGUGGGAGACUGGGAAGCUCGGACGCUAGUUCGGGUGGAGUCAUUGGUGAAAUACCACUCUGGUCGUUUUGAACGUCUAACUCUGGUCCGUGAUCCGGAUCGGGGACAGUGUCUGGUGGGUAGUUUAACUGGGGCGGUUGCCUCCUAAAGGGUAACGGAGGCGCCCAAAGGUUCCCUCAGCCUGGUUGGCAAUCAGGUGUUGAGUGUAAGUGCACAAGGGAGCUUGACUGUGAGACUGACGGGUCGAGCAGGAGCGAAAGCUGGGACUAGUGAUCCGGCAUCGGCGUGUGGAAGCGGUGUCGCUCAACGGCUAAAAGGUACCCCGGGGAUAACAGGCUGAUCUUCCCCAAGAGUCCAUAUCGACGGGAUGGUUUGGCACCUCGAUGUCGGCUCGUCGCAUCCUGGGGCUGGAGUAGGUCCCAAGGGUUGGGCUGUUCGCCCAUUAAAGCGGUACGCGAGCUGGGUUUAGAACGUCGCGAGACAGUUCGGUCCCUAUCCGCUGCGCGCGCAGGAGACUUGAAAGGGGCUGUCCCUAGUACGAGAGGACCGGGACGGACGAACCUCUGGUGUGCCAGUUGUACCGCCAGGUGCACGGCUGGUUGGCUACGUUCGGAAGGGAUAACCGCUGAAAGCAUCUAAGCGGGAAGCUCGCCUUGAGAUGAGGUCUCCCACCCCGUGAGGGGGUAAGGCUCCCGGUAGACGACCGGGUUGAUAGGCCGGAGGUGGAAGCACGGUAACGUGUGGAGCUGACCGGUACUAAUAGGCCGAGGACUUGACC
This 1516-nucleotide ribosomal RNA is filed under the name Nonomuraea kuesteri. RNAcentral describes it as "bacterial LSU rRNA". It matches the Rfam family "Bacterial large subunit ribosomal RNA", at positions 1434 to 2925 of the family's 2925-position model. Lineage: Bacteria; Bacillati; Actinomycetota; Actinomycetes; Streptosporangiales; Streptosporangiaceae. The record is from RNAcentral.